Molecule: ribosomal RNA, 249 nt
Filed under: uncultured bacterium
Lineage: Bacteria
Description: partial 16S ribosomal RNA
Rfam family: Bacterial small subunit ribosomal RNA
Source: RNAcentral
GACGUAGGGCGCGAGCGUUGUCCGGAUUUAUUGGGCGUAAAGAGCUCGUAGGCGGCUUGUCGCGAUCGACUGUGAAAUCCCGCGGCUCAACCGCGGGUCUGCAGUCGAUACGGGCAGGCUAGAGGUUCGAUGAGGGGAGACUGGAAUUCCUGGUGUAGCGGUGAAAUGCGCAGAUAUCAGGAGGAACACCGAUGGCGAAGGCAGGUCUCUGGGCCGAAUACUGACGCUGAGGAGCGAAAGCGUGGGGAG